AUUGAACGCUGGCGGCAUGCCUAACACAUGCAAGUCGAGCGGAUGAAGGGAGCUUGCUCCUGUAUUCAGCUGCCGACGGGCGAGUAAGGCCUAGGAAUCUACCUUGUAUUUGAGGAUAACGUACGUAAACGGGCGCUGAUACCGCAUACGUCCUGAUUUAGAACGUCGGGGAUCUUCAGACCACACGCUAUUUGCUGACCCUAGGUCGGAUUAGCUAGUUGGUUUGGUAAAGGCCUACCAAGGCGACGAUCCGUAACUGGUCUGAGAGGAUGAUCAGUCACACUGGAACUGAGACACGGUCCAGACUCCUACGGGAGGCAGCAGUGGGGAAUAUUGGACAAUGGGCGAAAGCCUGAUCCAGCCAUGCCGCGUGUGUGAAGAAGGUCUUCGGAUUGUAAAGCACUUUAAGUUGGGAGGAAGGGAAGUAAGUUAAUACCUUGCUGUUUUGACGUUACCAAAAGAAAAAGCCACGGCUAACUUCGUG
This 484-nucleotide ribosomal RNA is filed under the name uncultured bacterium. RNAcentral's name for it is "partial 16S ribosomal RNA". It matches the Rfam family "Bacterial small subunit ribosomal RNA", at positions 30 to 507 of the family's 1533-position model. The record is from RNAcentral.